RNAcentral lists this ribosomal RNA (332 nucleotides) under uncultured bacterium. RNAcentral's name for it is "bacterial SSU rRNA". It matches the Rfam family "Bacterial small subunit ribosomal RNA", at positions 568 to 898 of the family's 1533-position model. The record is from RNAcentral.
CGUGUAGGCGGCGUCCUAAGUCUGAUGUGAAAGCCCGGGGCUUACCCCCGGAAGUGCAUUGGAAACUGGGAGGCUAGAGUACCGGAGAGGAAGGUGGAAUUCCUGGUGUAGCGGUGAAAUGCGUAGAUAUCAGGAGGAACACCGGUGGCGAAGGCGGCCUUCUGGACGGAUACUGACGCUGAGACGCGAAAGCGUGGGGAGCAAACAGGAUUAGAUACCCUGGUAGUCCACGCUGUAAACGAUGGGCACUAGGUGUUCGGGGUAUUGACCCCCUGAGUGCCGCAGCUAACGCAUUAAGUGCCCCGCCUGGGGACUACGGCCGCAAGGUUAAA